RNAcentral lists this long non-coding RNA (1972 nucleotides) under Salmo salar (Atlantic salmon). RNAcentral's name for it is "lncRNA (ENSSSAG00000116093.1)". Lineage: Eukaryota; Metazoa; Chordata; Actinopteri; Salmoniformes; Salmonidae. The record is from RNAcentral.
AGUAGCCCUGCACGGGCGGAGUGCUGGCACAGGGCGAACUGGGCUGUGCAGAGGCCUGAUGGCUGCCGUGCGUAGAGCAGGCGUAGGGUAGCCUGGGCCUAGGAGACGUACUGGUGGCCAGAUGUACUGAGCAGGCAUACUCUUACCUGGCUGGAUGCCCACUCUAGCACGGCACUUGCGAGGGGCUGGAAUCGCUCGCACCGGACUGUGCGUGCGCAUGGGCGAGAUCGUGCACACUUCUGCAUUGACCGGCGCUCUUCUGAUCCGCUGCUUCCCAUAAUAAGCACGGGGAGUUGGCUCAGGUCUAUUGCCUGACCUAGCCACACUCCCCGUGUGCCCCCCCCAAAAAUUUUUUUAUUGGGGCUGCCUCCCGUACUUGCCAAUCGGCGCGUAUAAUGCCUCGUAACGGCACCGCUCCGCCUUGGCUGCCUCCAGCUCCUCCUUAGGGCGUCGGUAUUCCCCAGCCUGGUGCCAUGGUCCUGCCCCGUCCAAAAUUUCCUCCCAUUUCCACGACUCCAAAUCCCUCUGCUGCUCCUUCCUCCGCUGCUUGGUCCAUUGGUGGUGGGUAGUUCUGUCACGCUCGUCGUAAAGAUGAGCCCUGUAUUAAACUGUCACGUUCAUCGUAGGAAGGAGACCAAAGCGCAGUGUGGAUAUCGUUCCACAUCUUUUAUUUUAAUGUGAAACUUUGCAAGACAAACAAUAAACAAAACACAAACCGUGACGACAGAGGUGCAACAUGCACUAACUCAAAAUAAUCUCCCACAAAACACAGGUGGGAAAAACAACUACUUAAAUAUGAUCCCCAAUUGAAGACAACGAUGACCAGCUGCCUCGAAUUGGGAAUCAUACAAAAACCCCAACAUAGAAAAAAGAAACUAGAACACAACAUAGAAAAAAGAAACUAGAUAAAACCCCCCAGUCACGCCCUGACCUACUCUACCAUAGAAAAUAAGAGCUCUCUAUGGUCAGGACGUGACAUAAACACAGUUAUAAAACACAAAAUGAUAGCCUAAAUUACAAUGUCUACAAGAAAGCCCUAUUUUUAUUUUAUUUGGAUAGGCCUAAAUUAAACAUUCAAUUAUUUAAAGUGAUAGGCUAAAGAACUUUGGAGAAUUUAGAUAAUUUUGAAUAAACACAUGGAUUUCAAUAAACAAAUGAAUAAGACUGUUCUAUUCUCUUUUGAUUUAGUUCCUAUUGCAACUGGAUGACAUAUUGACUGACUGAAUGAAUGAUGAAUUAAAUGCUCAAAUAUGUUGGAAUGAUGAGUUGCAUGCAUCAUGCGCGCUCUGCACUUCAUUUGGCUAGUAGGCAUAUAGUCCUACAUUAGGGUAUAAUGGGUAUACAUCAGGGUAUACAACAGGGUAUAAUGGGUAUACAUCAGGGUAUAAUGGGUAUACAUCAGGGUACACAACAGGAUAUAAUAGGUAUACAUCAGGAUAUAAUAGGUAUACAUCAGGGUAUAAUGGGUAUACAUCAGGAUAUAAUAGGUAUACAUCAGGGUAUAAUGGGUAUACAUCAGGGUAUAAUGGGUAUACAUCAGGGUAUAAUGGGUAUACAUAAGGGUAUAAUGGGUAUACAUCAGGGUAUACAUCAAGGUAUACAUCAGGGUAUAAUGGGUAUAUAUCAGGGUAUACAUCAGGGUAUAAUGGGUAUACAUCAGGGUAUAAUGGGUAUAUAUCAGGGUAUAGUGGGUAUACAUCAGGGUAUAAUGUGUAUACAUCCGAGUAUAAUGUGUAUACAUCAGGGUAUACAUCAGGGUAUACAACAGGGUAUAAUGGGUAUACAUCAGGGUAUAAAUCAGGGUAUAAUGGGUAAACAUCAGAGUAUACAACAGGGUAUAAUGGGUAUACAUAGGGAAUAGCCUAUACUGAGACUACCUAAUACCACUGCAACAGAGUUACUGUAAAAUGUGGGAAUAACUUUAUGUCAGGCUUUUAACCACUCCAACAGAAUAUGCUUUAGCAAGAUUUUG